UACGUAGGGGGCAAGCGUUGUCCGGAUUUAUUGGGCGUAAAGAGCGUGUAGGCGGCUAGGUAGGUCCGUUGUGAAAACUCGAGGCUCAACCUCGAGACGCCGGUGGAAACCAUCUAGCUAGAGUCCGGAAGAGGAGAGUGGAAUUCCUGGUGUAGCGGUGAAAUGCGCAGAUAUCAGGAAGAACACCCGUGGCGAAGGCAGGUCUCUGGGCCACUACUGACGCUGAGGAGCGAAAGCGUGGGGAGCGAACAGG
Molecule: ribosomal RNA, 253 nt
Filed under: uncultured bacterium
Lineage: Bacteria
Description: partial 16S ribosomal RNA
Rfam family: Bacterial small subunit ribosomal RNA
Source: RNAcentral